CGGCAGGCCUAACACAUGCAAGUCGAGCGAAACGAGUUAACUGACCCUUCGGGUGACGUUAACGGCGUCGAGCGGCGGACGGUGAGUAAUGCCUGGGAAAUUGCCCUGAUGUGGGGGAUAACCAUUGGAAACGAUGGCUAAUACCGCAUAAUGCCUUCGGGCCAAAGAGGGGGGGGGACCUUCGGGCCUCUCGCGUCAGGAUAUGCCCCAGGUGGGAUUAGCUAGUUGGUGAGGUAAUGGCUCACCAAGGCGACGAUCCCUAGCUGGUCUGAGAGGAUGAUCAGCCACACUGGAACUGAGACACGGUCCAGACUCCUACGGGAGGCAGCAGUGGGGAAUAUUGCACAAUGGGCGCAAGCCUGAUGCAGCCAUGCCGCGUGUGUGAAGAAGGCCUUCGGGUUGUAAAGCACUUUCAACAGUGAGGAAGGCGGGUACGUUAAUAGCGUGCUCGUUUGACGUUAGCUGCAGAAGAAGCACCGGCUAACUCCGUG
Molecule: ribosomal RNA, 491 nt
Filed under: uncultured bacterium
Lineage: Bacteria
Description: bacterial SSU rRNA
Rfam family: Bacterial small subunit ribosomal RNA
Source: RNAcentral